CACUCCUGCGGGAGGCAGCAGUGGGGAAUUUUGGACCAUGGGCGAAAGCCUGAUCCAGCAAUGCCGCGUGCAGGAUGAAGGCCUUCGGGUUGUAAACUGCUUUUGUACGGAACGAAAAAGCUCCUUCUAAUACAGGGGGCCCAUGACGGUACCGUAAGAAUAAGCACCGGCUAACUACGUGCCAGCAGCCGCGGUAAUACGUAGGGUGCGAGCGUUAAUCGGAAUUACUGGGCGUAAAGCGUGCGCAGGCGGUUAUGUAAGACAGAUGUGAAAUCCCCGGGCUCAACCUGGGAACUGCAUUUGUGACUGCAUGGCUAGAGUACGGUAGAGGGGGAUGGAAUUCCGCGUGUAGCAGUGAAAUGCGUAGAUAUGCGGAGGAACACCGAUGGCGAAGGCAAUCCCCUGGACCUGUACUGACGCUCAUGCACGAAAGCGUGGGGAGCAAACAGGAUUAGAUACCCCAGUAGUCCCAUG
RNAcentral lists this ribosomal RNA (474 nucleotides) under uncultured organism. RNAcentral's name for it is "partial 16S ribosomal RNA". It matches the Rfam family "Bacterial small subunit ribosomal RNA", at positions 334 to 799 of the family's 1533-position model. The record is from RNAcentral.